This 220-nucleotide long non-coding RNA is filed under the name Elaeis guineensis (African oil palm). RNAcentral describes it as "long non-coding RNA (EGUI_LNC030023)". The record is from RNAcentral. Lineage: Eukaryota; Viridiplantae; Streptophyta; Magnoliopsida; Arecales; Arecaceae.
UGUAUCUGGGACGUUCGGUAGGAUCUCAGGUAACGAUCCGGAAUAGUUGGUAGCACGCGCCAUGGUAAAGGUAGAGCGAGCUCUGAUUUUAGAUCAGCCCCCCAACUGUCGUAUGACCCGACGGUCGAGAGCUUAAGUCGAGCGCCCGUUGCCCAGACCUAAGUCGGGCAUGUUCGUCGAGUCGGGCAUCGUCCGUCCUUCGGGCAUAACUCUUUGACCC